CGCUGGCGGCGUGCCUAAUACAUGCAAGUCGAACGGUCUUUCUAUGGAAGCUUGCUUCCACUGAGAAGAUAGUGGCGAACGGGUGAGUAACACGUGGGUAACCUGCCCAUAAGAGGGGGAUAACAUCCGGAAACGGGUGCUAAUACCGCAUAGUUUUCUUGAUCGCAUGAUUGAGAAAGGAAAGACGGCCUUUGUGCUGUCGCUUAUGGAUGGACCCGCGGCGUAUUAGUUAGUUGGUGAGGUAACGGCUCACCAAGACGAUGAUACGUAGCCGACCUGAGAGGGUGAUCGGCCACAUUGGGACUGAGACACGGCCCAAACUCCUACGGGAGGCAGCAGUAGGGGAUCUUCCGCAAUGGACGAAAGUCUGACGGAGCAACGCCGCGUGAGUGAAGAAAGGUUUUCGGAUCGUAAAACUCUGUUGUCAGAGAAGAACAAGUUGGAGAGUAACUGCUCCAGCCUUGACGGUAUCUGACCAGAAAGCCACGGCUAACUACGUGCCAGCAGCCGC
RNAcentral lists this ribosomal RNA (511 nucleotides) under uncultured bacterium. RNAcentral describes it as "bacterial SSU rRNA". It matches the Rfam family "Bacterial small subunit ribosomal RNA", at positions 34 to 518 of the family's 1533-position model. The record is from RNAcentral.